CCUACGGUGCGCUGCAGUGGGGAAUAUUGGACAAUGGGCGAAAGCCUGAUCCAGCCAUGCCGCGUGUGUGAAGAAGGCCUUCGGGUUGUACAGCACUUUCAGUGGGGAAGAAAGCCUUGGGGCUAAUACCCUCGAGGAAGGACAUCACCCACAGAAGAAGCACCGGCUAACUCCGUGCCAGCAGCCGCGGUAAUACGGAGGGUGCGAGCGUUAAUCGGAAUUACUUGGCGUAAAGCGCGCGUAGGCGGUCUGAUAAGCCGGUUGUGAAAGCCCCGGGCUCAACCUGGGAACGGCAUCCGGAACUGUCAGGCUAGAGUGCAGGAGAGGAAGGUAGAAUUCCCGGUGUAGCGGUGAAAUGCGUAGAGAUCGGGAGGAAUACCAGUGGCGAAGGCGGCCUUCUGGACUGACACUGACGCUGAGGUGCGAAAGCGUGGGUAGCAAACAGGAUUAGAUACCCCAGUAGUC
RNAcentral lists this ribosomal RNA (465 nucleotides) under Vreelandella stevensii. Its description in RNAcentral is "partial 16S ribosomal RNA". It matches the Rfam family "Bacterial small subunit ribosomal RNA", at positions 338 to 795 of the family's 1533-position model. Lineage: Bacteria; Pseudomonadati; Pseudomonadota; Gammaproteobacteria; Oceanospirillales; Halomonadaceae. The record is from RNAcentral.